GCGGGUAUAGUUCAGUUGGUGGAACACCUCCUUGCCAAGGAGGAUGUCGCGCGUUCGAGUCGCGUUACCCGCU
RNAcentral lists this transfer RNA (73 nucleotides) under Chromochloris zofingiensis. RNAcentral's name for it is "tRNA-Gly". It matches the Rfam family "tRNA". From Rfam's summary of the family: Transfer RNA (tRNA) molecules are approximately 80 nucleotides in length. Their secondary structure includes four short double-helical elements and three loops (D, anti-codon, and T loops). Lineage: Eukaryota; Viridiplantae; Chlorophyta; Chlorophyceae; Sphaeropleales; Chromochloridaceae. RNAcentral also lists the same sequence under 1 other name. The record is from RNAcentral.